RNAcentral lists this transfer RNA (71 nucleotides) under Notolychnus valdiviae. RNAcentral describes it as "tRNA-Trp". It matches the Rfam family "tRNA". From Rfam's summary of the family: Transfer RNA (tRNA) molecules are approximately 80 nucleotides in length. Their secondary structure includes four short double-helical elements and three loops (D, anti-codon, and T loops). Lineage: Eukaryota; Metazoa; Chordata; Actinopteri; Myctophiformes; Myctophidae. The record is from RNAcentral.
AGGGGUUUAGGUUAAUACCAAACCAAGAGCCUUCAAAGCCCUAAAUGAGAGUGAAAAUCUCCCAGCCCCUG